This 460-nucleotide ribosomal RNA is filed under the name uncultured bacterium. RNAcentral describes it as "partial 16S ribosomal RNA". It matches the Rfam family "Bacterial small subunit ribosomal RNA", at positions 338 to 795 of the family's 1533-position model. The record is from RNAcentral.
CCUACGGGGGGCUGCAGUGAGGAAUAUUGGUCAAUGGACGGAAGUCUGAACCAGCCAUGCCGCGUGCAGGAAGACGGUUCUAUGAGUUGUAAACUGCUUUUGUACAGGGGUAAACCUGAAUACGUGUAUUCAGCUGAAAGUACUGUACGAAUAAGGAUCGGCUAACUCCGUGCCAGCAGCCGCGGUAAUACGGAGGAUCCAAGCGUUAUCCGGAUUUAUUGGGUUUAAAGGGUGCGUAGGCGGUUUGAUAAGUUAGAGGUGAAAUGUCCGGGCUUAACCCGGGAACUGCCUUUAAUACUGGCGAUCUAGAGAGGAGGAGCGGUAGGCGGAAUGUAUGGUGUAGCGGUGAAAUGCUUAGAGAUCAUACAGAACACCGAUUGCGAAGGCAGCUUACCAAUCUAUAUCUGACGCUGAGGCACGAAAGCGUGGGGAGCAAACAGGAUUAGAUACCCGUGUAGUC